Molecule: non-coding RNA, 72 nt
Organism: Trichonephila clavipes
Lineage: Eukaryota; Metazoa; Arthropoda; Arachnida; Araneae; Nephilidae
Source: the annotation of a GenBank genome assembly
UUCCCUUUAGCAUAAUGGAUAGUGCGUUGGACUUGUAAUCCAACUUCGUGGGUUAGAAUUCCACCUGGGAUA